GGUUAUAAUUAAUUACGCAUAUGAGCAUGAGCUCUCAUUAGAAAAGUGUUGGUGGUUAGUACAUUGAUAAGAGUUCAAUGGAUUAUUUGCCAUAUGCUUAGCAAGAGCAGACUAAACGUAUGUCCCUCAAGAAUAUGUCAGGAUUUGGGGAGCAAUUCCCAUGUUGAAUAAAGUUUCUGACAAUAAUUAGUUGGGACAUAGGAAAUACAUGGGGUUUUGAUUUUGGUUCAUUAUGUUAGCAAUCAUAAGGCACAGAUUGGGAAGGAGAAACCUAGUCAAGAUGUGUUUUUAGUAAUGUUGGCAACCUUAUGAACAUAUUGUCAACAUUUCCUUGGAAAUAAUGAAAAGGGACUAAAAUCAGUCUUGGAGUUACAUACAGAGGAUGAUAUUGAAGCUGUUAUGAGAUUUCCAUCAGCAUUAAGUUAUAUCUUCAUCCUCAAUUCCGCUAAUAAAAUCCGGUUCUAUUAUAUGGAGAAACAUCAUUAAUU
RNAcentral lists this long non-coding RNA (488 nucleotides) under Setaria viridis. RNAcentral describes it as "long non-coding RNA (SVIR_LNC011040)". Lineage: Eukaryota; Viridiplantae; Streptophyta; Magnoliopsida; Poales; Poaceae. The record is from RNAcentral.